RNAcentral lists this small nuclear RNA (197 nucleotides) under Felis catus (domestic cat). RNAcentral describes it as "7SK RNA". It matches the Rfam family "7SK RNA", at positions 1 to 200 of the family's 331-position model. From Rfam's summary of the family: 7SK was discovered as an abundant small nuclear RNA in the mid-70s but a possible function has only recently been suggested. Two independent studies have found that 7SK RNA binds the CDK9/cyclin T complex (known as elongation factor P-TEFb). The record is from Rfam by way of RNAcentral. Lineage: Eukaryota; Metazoa; Chordata; Mammalia; Carnivora; Felidae.
GCAGUGAUGGUGAUCUGGCUCCGAUGUCAGUUACCCCAUUGAUCCCCAGGGUUGAUUUGGCUGAUCUGGCUGGCUAGGCAGCUGUUCCCUUCCUCUCACCCCUCCAUGUGCAUCCCUCCUAAAGUUGCAUGCUCUGUUGAAGAGGAUGACCUUCCUCUAUAGAGGAGGACCAUUCUUUGGUCAAGGGUAUAUGACUG